Molecule: ribosomal RNA, 415 nt
Filed under: uncultured bacterium
Lineage: Bacteria
Description: partial 16S ribosomal RNA
Rfam family: Bacterial small subunit ribosomal RNA
Source: RNAcentral
UGGGGAAUUUUGGACAAUGGGGGAAACCCCUGAUCCAGCCAUCCCCGCGUGUGCGAUGAAGGCCUUCGGGUUGUAAAGCACUUUUGGCAGGAAAGAACGUCGCGGGUUAAUACCCCCGAAACUGACGGUACCUGCAGAAUAAGCACCGGCUAACUACGUGCCAGCAGCCGCGGUAAUACGUAGGGUGCAAGCGUUAAUCGGAAUUACUGGGCGUAAAGCGUGCGCAGGCGGUUCGGAAAAGAAAGAUGUGAAAUCCCCAGAGCUUAACUUUGGAACUGCAUUUUUAACUACCGGGCUAGAGUGUGUCAGAGGGGAGGUGGAAUUCCCGUGUAGCAGUGAAAUGCGUAGAUAUGCGGAGGAACACCCGAUGGCGAAGGCAGCCUCCUGGGAUAACACUGACGCUCAUGCACGAAAG